This 496-nucleotide ribosomal RNA is filed under the name uncultured bacterium. Its description in RNAcentral is "partial 16S ribosomal RNA". It matches the Rfam family "Bacterial small subunit ribosomal RNA", at positions 28 to 506 of the family's 1533-position model. The record is from RNAcentral.
GGUGAACGCUGGCGGCGUGCCUAAUACAUGCAAGUCGAGCGAACGGACGAGAAGCUUGCUUCUCUGAUAUUAGCGGCGGACGGGUGAGUAACACGUGGAUAACCUACCUAUAAGACUGGGAUAACUUCGGGAAACCGUAGCUAAUACCGGAUAAUAUUUUGAACCGCAUGGUUCAAAAGUGAAAGACGGUCUUGCUGUCACUUAUAGAUGGAUCCGCGCUGCAUUAGCUAGUUGGUAAGGUAACGGCUUACCAAGGCAACGAUGCAUAGCCGACCUGAGAGGGUGAUCGGCCACACUGGAACUGAGACACGGUCCAGACUCCUACGGGAGGCAGCAGUAGGGAAUCUUCCGCAAUGGGCGAAAGCCUGACGGAGCAACGCCGCGUGAGUGAUGAAGGUCUUCGGAUCGUAAAACUCUGUUAUUAGGGAAGAACAUAUGUGUAAGUAACUGUGCACAUCUUGACGGUACCUAAUCAGAAAGCCACGGCUAACUACGU